This 247-nucleotide ribosomal RNA is filed under the name uncultured bacterium. RNAcentral's name for it is "partial small subunit ribosomal RNA". It matches the Rfam family "Bacterial small subunit ribosomal RNA", at positions 26 to 285 of the family's 1533-position model. The record is from RNAcentral.
AGAAUCAACGCUGGCGGCGUGCCUAACACAUGCAAGUCGAACGAGAAAGUGGAGCAAUCCAUGAGUAAAGUGGCGCACGGGUGAGUAACACGUGACUAACCUACCCUUGAGUGGGGAAUAAACUUCGGGAAACCGAGGCUAAUACCGCAUAACACCUACGGGUCAAAGGAGCUAAUUCGCUUAAGGAGGGGGUCGCGGCAGAUUAGUUAGUUGGCGGGGUAAUGGCCCACCAAGACAGUGAUCUGUA